GUUAACACGUGGGGGUAACCCUGCCCAAGAGAUCGGGGAUACACCUUGGGAAACAGAUGCUAAUACCGGAUAACAACAGAUGAUGCCUAUCAACUGUUUUAAAGAUGGUUCUGCUAUCACUCUUUGGAUGGACCUGCGGUGCAUUAGCUAGUUGGUAGGGGUAACGGGCCUACCAAGGCGAUGAUGCAUAGCCCGAGUUUGAGAGACUGAUCGGGCCACAUUGGGACUGAGACACGGGCCCAAACUCCUACGGGAGGCAGCAGUAGGGGAAUCUUCCACAAUGGACGCAAAGUCUGAUGGAGCAAAACGCCGCGUGAGUGAAGAAGGGUUUCGGCUCGUAAAAGCUCUGUUGUUGGUGAAGAAGGACAGGGGUAGUAACUGACCCUUUGUUUGACGGUAAUCAAUUUAGAAAGUCACGGGCUAACUACGUGCCCAGCAGCCGCGGUAAAU
RNAcentral lists this ribosomal RNA (450 nucleotides) under uncultured Lactobacillus sp. Its description in RNAcentral is "bacterial SSU rRNA". It matches the Rfam family "Bacterial small subunit ribosomal RNA", at positions 109 to 525 of the family's 1533-position model. The record is from RNAcentral. Lineage: Bacteria; Bacillati; Bacillota; Bacilli; Lactobacillales; Lactobacillaceae.